UCCCUGUGGUUCAGUGGCUAAGACUCUGCACUCCCAGUGCAGGGGGCCCAGGUUCAAACCCUGGUCAGGGAG
RNAcentral lists this transfer RNA (72 nucleotides) under Bos taurus (domestic cattle). It matches the Rfam family "tRNA". From Rfam's summary of the family: Transfer RNA (tRNA) molecules are approximately 80 nucleotides in length. Their secondary structure includes four short double-helical elements and three loops (D, anti-codon, and T loops). The record is from Rfam by way of RNAcentral. RNAcentral also lists the same sequence under 4 other names. Lineage: Eukaryota; Metazoa; Chordata; Mammalia; Artiodactyla; Bovidae.